CACGUAGGGGGCGAGCGUUGUCCGGAUUUAUUGGGCGUAAAGAGCUCGUAGGUGGCUCGGUAAGUCGGGUGUGAAAUUUCGAGGCUCAACCUCGAGACGCCACCUGAUACUGCUGUGGCUAGAGUCCGGUAGGGGAGCGUGGAAUUCCUGGUGUAGCGGUGAAAUGCGCAGAUAUCAGGAGGAACACCAAUGGCGAAGGCAGCUCGCUGGGACGUGACUGACGCUGAGACGCGAAAGCGUGGGGAGCAAACAGG
This 254-nucleotide ribosomal RNA is filed under the name uncultured bacterium. Its description in RNAcentral is "partial 16S ribosomal RNA". It matches the Rfam family "Bacterial small subunit ribosomal RNA", at positions 524 to 776 of the family's 1533-position model. The record is from RNAcentral.